Molecule: ribosomal RNA, 482 nt
Filed under: uncultured bacterium
Lineage: Bacteria
Description: partial 16S ribosomal RNA
Rfam family: Bacterial small subunit ribosomal RNA
Source: RNAcentral
AUUGAACGCUGGCGGCAUGCUUUACACAUGCAAGUCGAACGGUAACAGGCCGCAAGGUGCUGACGAGUGGCGAACGGGUGAGUAAUGCAUCGGAACGUGCCCAGCCGUGGGGGAUAACUACUCGAAAGAGUAGCUAAUACCGCAUACGAUCUAUGGAUGAAAGCGGGGGACCGUAAGGCCUCGCGCGAUUGGAGCGGCCGAUGUCAGAUUAGGUAGUUGGUGGGGUAAAGGCUCACCAAGCCAACGAUCUGUAGCUGGUCUGGGAGGACGACCAGCCACACUGGGACUGAGACACGGCCCAGACUCCUACGGGAGGCAGCAGUGGGGAAUUUUGGACAAUGGGCGCAAGCCUGAUCCAGCAAUGCCGCGUGCAGGAAGAAGGCCUUCGGGUUGUAAACUGCUUUUGUACGGAACGAAACGGCUCUGGUUAAUACCCGGGGCUAAUGACGGUACCGGAAGAAUAAGCACCGGCUAACUACGUG